RNAcentral lists this non-coding RNA (110 nucleotides) under Massilibacterium senegalense. Its description in RNAcentral is "SAM riboswitch (S box leader)". It matches the Rfam family "SAM riboswitch aptamer (S box leader)". From Rfam's summary of the family: The SAM riboswitch is found upstream of a number of genes which code for proteins involved in methionine or cysteine biosynthesis in Gram-positive bacteria. The SAM riboswitch acts at the level of transcription termination control. Lineage: Bacteria; Bacillati; Bacillota; Bacilli; Caryophanales; Bacillaceae. The record is from RNAcentral.
UCUUAUCCCGAGUUGGUAGAGGGAACAGGCCCGAUGAUACCCGGCAACCAACACCUUCAUGGUGAAAAGGUGCUAAACCUGGUGCGAAGCAAUAGCUUUGAACGAUAAGA